RNAcentral lists this ribosomal RNA (410 nucleotides) under Verrucomicrobiota bacterium. Its description in RNAcentral is "Verrucomicrobia bacterium partial 16S ribosomal RNA". It matches the Rfam family "Bacterial small subunit ribosomal RNA", at positions 355 to 776 of the family's 1533-position model. The record is from RNAcentral. Lineage: Bacteria; Pseudomonadati; Verrucomicrobiota.
UGGGGAAUCUUGCACAAUGGGCGAAAGCCUGAUGCAGCGACGCCGCGUGCGGGAUGAAGGCCUUCGGGUUGUAAACCGCUUUCAGCAGGGACGAGGCCGCAAGGUGACGGUACCUGCAGAAGAAGCCCCGGCUAACUACGUGCCAGCAGCCGCGGUAAUACGUAGGGGGCAAGCGUUAUCCGGAUUCAUUGGGCGUAAAGCGCGCGUAGGCGGUUUGUUAGGUCAGGAGUUAAAUCUGGGGGCUCAACCCCUAUCCGCUCCUGAUACCGGCAGGCUUGAGUCUGGUAGGGGAAGGCGGAAUUCCAAGUGUAGCGGUGAAAUGCGCAAAUAUUUGGAAGAACACCGGUGGCGAAGGCGGCCUUCUGGGCCACGACUGACGCUGAGGCGCGAAAGCUAGGGGAGCGAACAGG